RNAcentral lists this ribosomal RNA (264 nucleotides) under Triticum aestivum (bread wheat). RNAcentral describes it as "partial small subunit ribosomal RNA". Lineage: Eukaryota; Viridiplantae; Streptophyta; Magnoliopsida; Poales; Poaceae. The record is from RNAcentral.
AUGUAUGUCAGAAACUUGGCGAGAAAGUUUCAUCGCAACCGCUCCCCGACGCUCUUGUUCAAACUGGACAUCAAAAAGGCGUUUGACUCUGUACGUUGGGACUUCCUCAUGGACCUGCUGAAACACCUUGGCUUCCCUAACAGAUUUCGCGACUGGGUUUCAGCUUUGCUCUCUACCGCCACUUCGAGGGUGUUGAUCAAUGGAGUUUUGGGUGAUCCGUUGAAGCAUGGAUGUGGCCUUUGCCAGGGGGACCCGUUGUCCCCU